RNAcentral lists this ribosomal RNA (914 nucleotides) under uncultured marine archaeon. RNAcentral describes it as "bacterial SSU rRNA". It matches the Rfam family "Archaeal small subunit ribosomal RNA", at positions 1 to 922 of the family's 1478-position model. The record is from RNAcentral.
UUCCGGUUGAUCCUGCCGGACCUGACUGCUAUCGGAUUGAUACUAAGCCAUGCUAGUCUUUGUAGUAAUACAAGGCAUACGGCUCAGUAACGCGUAGUCAACCUACCCUAUGGACGGGGAUAAUCUCGGGAAACUGAGCAUAAUACCCGGCAGACCACUUAUCCUGGAAUGGUUAGUGGUUAAAAUGAUUCGUCGCCAUAGGAUGGGACUGCGGCCUAUCAGCUUGUUGGUGAGGUAAUGGCCCACCAAGGCGAUUACAGGUACGGGCUCUGAGAGGAGAGGCCCGGAGAUGGGUACUGAGACAAGGACCCAGGCCCUAUGGGGCGCAGCAGGCGAGAAAACUUUGCAAUGUGCGAAAGCACGACAAGGUUAAUCCGAGUGAUUUCUGCUAAAGGAAUCUUUUGUUAGUUCUAAAAAUACUAGUGAAUAAGGGGUGGGCAAGUUCUGGUGUCAGCCGCCGCGGUAAAACCAGCACCUCAAGUGGUCAGGAGGAUUAUUGGGCCUAAAGCAUCCGUAGCCUGUUCUAUAAGUUUGCGGUUAAAUCCAUAUGCUCAACAUAUGGGCUGCCGUAAAUACUGUAGAACUAGGGAGUGGGAGAGGUAGACGGUACUCGAUAGGAAGGGGUAAAAUCCUUUGAUCUAUUGAUGACCACCUGUGGCGAAGGCGGUCUACCAGAACACGUUCGACGGUGAGGGAUGAAAGCUGGGGGAGCAAACCGGAUUAGAUACCCGGGUAGUCCCAGCUGUAAACGAUGCAGACUCGAUGAUGCAAUGGCAUAGAGCUAUUGCAGUAUCGCAGGGAAGCCGUUAAGUUUGCCGCCUGGGAAGUACGUACGCAAGUAUGAAACUUAAAGGAAUUGGCGGGGGAGCACCACAAGGGGUGAAGCCUGCGGUUCAAUUGGAGUCAACGCCGGG